GGUGGCAGCUCAGUGGCAGAGUGCGUGCUUAGCAAGCACCAGGUCCUGGGUUCCAUCCUCAGUACCGCCA
RNAcentral lists this transfer RNA (70 nucleotides) under Camelus bactrianus (Bactrian camel). It matches the Rfam family "tRNA". Rfam says of the family: Transfer RNA (tRNA) molecules are approximately 80 nucleotides in length. Their secondary structure includes four short double-helical elements and three loops (D, anti-codon, and T loops). RNAcentral also lists the same sequence under 2 other names. Lineage: Eukaryota; Metazoa; Chordata; Mammalia; Artiodactyla; Camelidae. The record is from Rfam by way of RNAcentral.